UUGGAGGGCAAGUCUGGUGCCAGCAGCCGCGGUAAUUCCAGCUCCAAUAGCGUAUAUUAAAGUUGUUGCAGUUAAAAAGCUCGUAGUUGAACUUCGGGGUUCACCCAUUGGUCAGGCUUAAUUGUCUGUACUGGUGAGAUGAAUCUCUACCUUCUGAGGAACUUUCAUGCCAUUUAUUUGGUGUGAUGGGAAAUCAGGACUGUUACUUUGAAAAAAUUAGAGUGUUUAAAGCAGGCUAACGUCUGAAUACAUUAGCAUGGAAUAAUGAAAUAGGACGGAUUGAUUCUAUUUCGUUGGUUUCUAGGAUCACCGUAAUGAUUAAUAGGGAUAGUUGGGGGCAUUAGUAUUCAAUUGUCAGAGGUGAAAUUCUUGGAUUUAUUGAAGACUAACUACUGCGAAAGCAUUUGCCAAGGAUGUUUUCAUUAAUCAAGAACGAAAGUUAGGGGAUCGAAGACGAUCAGAUACCGUCGUAGUCUUAACCAUAAACUAUGCCGACUAGGGAUCGGACGAAGUUAAUUUUAUAAUGACGCGUUCGGCGCCUUACGGGAAAC
RNAcentral lists this ribosomal RNA (551 nucleotides) under uncultured Diversispora. Its description in RNAcentral is "SSU rRNA". It matches the Rfam family "Eukaryotic small subunit ribosomal RNA", at positions 548 to 1098 of the family's 1831-position model. Lineage: Eukaryota; Fungi; Glomeromycota; Glomeromycetes; Diversisporales; Diversisporaceae. The record is from RNAcentral.